RNAcentral lists this long non-coding RNA (921 nucleotides) under Anas platyrhynchos platyrhynchos (common mallard). RNAcentral describes it as "lncRNA (ENSAPLG00000018312.1)". Lineage: Eukaryota; Metazoa; Chordata; Aves; Anseriformes; Anatidae. The record is from RNAcentral.
GAUUUACAGGACCAAAGAGCAAAAUUCAACACAGAUCUCCAAGCAAGUCAUUUCAGCAUUAUGUUUUGCUGUUGUUUCUUCUACAGGCAGUCUCAGCAAGCCUAGGUUAUCCUGUCCAACAAUAAUACUGGCUCUAUGCUGAUGAACUGGUUAGAAAAUGGUUAAUUAUGUACCCGGUUAAGUGAAAUACAUUCAUUUCAUAAUUCUUUAUUUUAUUUCUGGGAAUUUCUGUAAUAUAAAUCACUGUCGCUGACUAUCCAGUUAUUAUUUAAAUAUGAGUCUAUCUUUUUGCAUUUUGAGACUCUUGACAUUCCCAUGAAUAUCAGUAUGUGUGUAGAGUAAAUCAGAUGCAGUUUAGCAUAGAAGUACCACUGUGUCCCCAGCUCUGCAUGGGAGACUACAUGCAGUGUUUUACACCAAGAUGCAAAAAAAGAUUUAAGGGACUCUUAUGUGCAAACUAGGCACAGGAAAACAAAGCUUUAAUGUGACAUAUGGCUUUCUAUUUUUGUGCCUUAGAUUUAAAUAUGAGGCAACACACAAAUACAUAAUAUUCAGGAUUUAUCAAUGUGUGUUUUCACACCAGCUAAUUGAGCACUUCAGGGCUAUCUAUGCAUUUGUUGGUUAUUUUUAAUGAGAACAUACAGCUGUGUGAAUGGUCAUAAGUUGUGGCUUCUGCAUACUUUCAAACAUCGCAUCAUUUUUAGUGAACAAAACUACCUACAGCAAGUUGUUCUCUCGUUGGCCAGCAAAAGGUAUGUCCCUCUCUGGGUGUCAUUUAAUAGUUUUUAUCAUGAAGGGAGAGGAUUUCCGAUCUUCUGCUGGAUGUCACCAAAAGAGAAGAAUGAAGAUCUUGAUGCAAUGGAGCACAGCGUGACAGCAUCAGACUCCUUGCAAACCCAGGAUCCUCCUGGAGGUAUUUAA